Non-coding RNA from Pangasianodon gigas (Mekong giant catfish), 79 nucleotides. Lineage: Eukaryota; Metazoa; Chordata; Actinopteri; Siluriformes; Pangasiidae. The record is from the annotation of a GenBank genome assembly.
GGUUAAGAUGUGGUUAAGAUGUGGUUAAGAUGUUGGACUACCGAUCGGAAGGUCAUGAGUUCAAUCCCCAGCACCACCA